Molecule: ribosomal RNA, 465 nt
Filed under: uncultured bacterium
Lineage: Bacteria
Description: partial 16S ribosomal RNA
Rfam family: Bacterial small subunit ribosomal RNA
Source: RNAcentral
CCUACGGGGGGCUGCAGUGGGGAAUAUUGCGCAAUGGGCGAAAGCCUGACGCAGCGACGCCGCGUGAGGGAUGAAGGUAUUCGGAUCGUAAACCUCUGUCAGCAGGGAAGAACGGUCACUGUGCUAAUCAGCAGUGAAUUGACGGUACCUGCAAAGGAAGCACCGGCUAACUCCGUGCCAGCAGCGGCGGUAAUACGGAGGGUGCGAGCGUUAAUCGGAAUUACUGGGCGUAAAGCGCUCGUAGGCGGUAUGUCAAGUCAAGGGGUAAAUCCCCGCGGUCAACGUGGGAACUGCCUUUGAAACUGGCAAACUGGAGUGUGUGAGAGGAUAGUGGAAUUCCAGGUGUAGGAGUGAAAUCCGUAGAUAUCUGGAGGAACAUCAGUGGCGAAGGCGACUAUCUGGCACAUAACUGACGCUGAGGAGCGAAAGCGUGGGUAGCAAACAGGAUUAGAUACCCCAGUAGUC